GGGCCUGUAGAUCAGUGGAAGAUCGCUUGAUUUUAUUAAGCAGGACGCUUAAUUCCAAGAUUCGCAUUCAAGAGGUCACGGGUUCAAUUCCCGUCAGGUCCA
RNAcentral lists this transfer RNA (102 nucleotides) under Promethearchaeota archaeon Loki_b32. Its description in RNAcentral is "Candidatus Lokiarchaeota archaeon Loki_b32 tRNA-OTHER". It matches the Rfam family "tRNA". From Rfam's summary of the family: Transfer RNA (tRNA) molecules are approximately 80 nucleotides in length. Their secondary structure includes four short double-helical elements and three loops (D, anti-codon, and T loops). RNAcentral also lists the same sequence under 1 other name. The record is from RNAcentral. Lineage: Archaea; Promethearchaeati; Promethearchaeota.